AAUAAACCAAUUUUUCAUUUUUUAUCUAUAAUUUUUGACUUCGUCUUAUUUAAUUUUUUUUUGCGAUUGAUCUUUUUGUUUUUAUUAGAUGAUAAAUCAUAAAUAGUACUUUACGUGUGACUAUUUUUUUUCUAAUUUCCUGAAAAAUUUUCAAAUAAGACGGAUGAUCAAACGUUGGACAUGGAAACC
This 189-nucleotide microRNA precursor is filed under the name Oryza brachyantha (malo sina). RNAcentral's name for it is "MIR812 microRNA precursor family". It matches the Rfam family "MIR812 microRNA precursor family". The record is from Rfam by way of RNAcentral. Lineage: Eukaryota; Viridiplantae; Streptophyta; Magnoliopsida; Poales; Poaceae.